RNAcentral lists this ribosomal RNA (388 nucleotides) under Prostephanus truncatus. RNAcentral's name for it is "LSU rRNA". It matches the Rfam family "Eukaryotic large subunit ribosomal RNA", at positions 332 to 480 of the family's 3401-position model. The record is from RNAcentral. Lineage: Eukaryota; Metazoa; Arthropoda; Insecta; Coleoptera; Bostrichidae.
GACCGAUAGCGAACAAGUACCGUGAGGAGAAAGUUGAAAAGAACUUUGAAGAGAGAGUUCAAUAGUACGUGAAACCGUCCAGGGGUAAACCCGAGAAGCCCGAAAGUUCGAUGGGGGAGAUUCAACCGCGUCUCGGAGGACGCGGACAGCGGCGGGCCGGCGACGGAAGGUCCCUCGGGACCCGACGCGCCCGUCGUCCGUCCAGUUCCCGAACGCGUGCACUUCUCCCCCCGUAGGACGUCGCGACCCGUCGGUGGCGGGGUCUGAGGGGCCGCGGUGGAGCCCCGGCGGGACGAAUUUCGGGUCGUUCUCGUCGGACCCGCGUGUUCCCGAACCCGCCCCGCCCGACGGUAGACUAGAGGCGGGGGGCCGCGACCUUUUCAGGUAC